Molecule: ribosomal RNA, 253 nt
Filed under: uncultured bacterium
Lineage: Bacteria
Description: partial 16S ribosomal RNA
Rfam family: Bacterial small subunit ribosomal RNA
Source: RNAcentral
GACGGAGGGUGCUAGCGUUGUUCGGAAUCACUGGGCGUAAAGGGCGCGUAGGCGGCCUCAGGUGUCGGAUGUGAAAGCCCGGGGCUCAACCCCGGAGGUGCAUCCGAAACUCUGGGGCUGGAGGUCGGAAGAGGAGGGUGGAAUACCCAGUGUAGAGGUGAAAUUCGUAGAUAUUGGGUGGAACACCGGUGGCGAAGGCGGGUCUCUGGGCCGAUACUGACGCUGAGGAGCGAAAGCGUGGGGAGCGAACAGG